RNAcentral lists this long non-coding RNA (1918 nucleotides) under Nicotiana tabacum (common tobacco). Its description in RNAcentral is "long non-coding RNA (NTAB_LNC001159)". Lineage: Eukaryota; Viridiplantae; Streptophyta; Magnoliopsida; Solanales; Solanaceae. The record is from RNAcentral.
CUCCAGUGUGAAGUACUUGACUUUCCUAUCGGGAUCAGAUUUCCCUGCUACACCAACAGAUUCAACGACCUCUAUAUUCUUUCUCUGUGUAGCUAAUUGGCGAGCAGCACCCUGAGAAAAAAUAAGAAGGCAAAGGUUUGAUGAUGUCCAAGAGAGGAGGAAAGACAUGAGGAAGGGGGCAACCAAAGACAAGUAGGGACAUCACCACUUCAUUUUCCAAAUGCAUGUCACAGUUUUCAAACAAUUACUGCACUUUAUCGUCUUCAUAAAUAAGAUGAGGCAUCUAAAACUAUCUCAGAUACUACUUAGCGAACCUGAAACUGCAAAAUGAAUCAACUUUCUAGUAACCAUCCUUUCAGUUGAGCACUUGAACUUCUAGAUUUAUUUUUCUUUCUAUUUUUAGUUAUAUAAUUUUUUUCCUUUUUUGGGUGGACAAGUUGUACUUCUAUACGCUCGUAUUCAUACAGAUACUAAUACACUUAUUCAUGAUAACUUCAACUCUUUAAAAGUUUCUUUUAGAUAAAGGACAGGGGACAAUUUAAUUCUUAAUCUCUAACUGUAACAUCAUUGCUUUACUCCAAAGGAGCUCUAUUCUCCAAAAGAUUCAUAGGAUCACUCUGUGAUGAACUUGCUUUCACCAUAAUGCAAUUAUUAUGCUAUUACAUGACAUGAAGCAAUAAUUAUGUUAGAAACAGUCUACUCAUUUGCUUGUAAUUGAGGUGUUUCCAUGUCUUCUAUCCAUAGUCCCUUUCAUUUGCUUAAAAGUUUACUGUACAUAUAAUAGUUUAAGGACUUGAGGUUAGAAAGAGGUUUGGAUAUUCACUGUUCUAGGAAAGUUCUACUAUUCUGGGACAUACUGUGACCAAAUAACAUAAUAAAAUUGGACAAAAAAUAUGUAAUUGAAAAUGGGUAAGUUAAGUUCCUAGGUCGUAAUUAUAAAGAAAAGACCUCAAUAGUUUACAACUAGAACAGAAUGCUUAUAGCUUUUCGUUCUUUGCACUAAGUUAUUAAUUACAACUAUGAGAGUAUGAUUGAAGAACUACCUAUAAGUCGAAAAAGCUCUACUUCCGAAGGUUUAUUAGAUGGAUUUUAAGGAUUAGAUAACAUCAUUUUUACCAAGCAAGAAAAUUUAGAAAGGCAAGCAAUUUGCUGAGAAGAAUAACCCCAAUGUCUAAUAGACGUGAAGGCAAACAGUUACCCGUUAGACUAAAGCACAGACAUGAACGAAUCAUACAAUUUUAAGUGAAAGCAGCACAAGCAUAAUCGGACAGAAGUAAAAGAAUGUGUUUAUAAAAAAUAUUACCAGAGAAAGAAAAAAGGAGAAGCAAAAUGAUUUUUCUGAAUAACUAAGACAACGAACAGCGAAGAUCGAACAUCGAUAGCAAACAUCGAACAAAGAAAAUCUCAUGGUUUCAAACAAAAAAUCAAAAUCUAACAAAUAAAUCCCCCAAUUUUGCAAACUAGAAAUCACAAAUGUAUCAUGUAACACAAAACAAAGUAGAAGCAAAAUAAUGUGUUUAUCAGAACUAUUACCAGAUAACGAAAACAUAAGGGGAAAAAGAAAGCGAAAAUUAAAUAGUUAUACAAACAUCAAACAGGGGAAAAAUCGAUAGCCUACUUCGGAGAUUGCUCGUAUGUUAGCCGAAACUGGUCGUCAUUCACCGAUAGUUGUCGUCCUUCGCCGGAGCUGGCCGACAGAGUUCGUCGAUGGUGAGGUCGAUGUGUUCUAGGUUGAGGCUGAGAGAGACGAUGUCUUCAAGGUUUAUCCUACCUCGGAGAUUGCUCGUAUGUUAGCCGAAACUGGUCGUCAUUCACCGGCAGUUGUCGUCCUUCGCCGGAGCUGGCCGACAGAGUUCGUCGAUGGUGAUGUGUUCUAGGUUGAGGCUGAGAGAGACGGUCUCCAAGGUUUUGAGAGUUU